AGGGGGAUAGCUGGGUCAAAUGGUGGUUCCAGUUUUCCAAGGAAUCUCUAUACCACUUUCCAGAUUGUCUGUACCAAUUUGCAGUCCCACCAGCAAU
RNAcentral lists this microRNA precursor (97 nucleotides) under Marmota monax (woodchuck). The record is from RNAcentral. Lineage: Eukaryota; Metazoa; Chordata; Mammalia; Rodentia; Sciuridae.